This 468-nucleotide ribosomal RNA is filed under the name uncultured bacterium. RNAcentral describes it as "partial 16S ribosomal RNA". It matches the Rfam family "Bacterial small subunit ribosomal RNA", at positions 28 to 507 of the family's 1533-position model. The record is from RNAcentral.
GACGAACGCUGGCGGCGUGCUUAACACAUGCAAGUCGAACGGAAAGGCCCUGCUUUUGUGGGGUGCUCGAGUGGCGAACGGGUGAGUAACACGUGAGUAACCUGCCCUUGACUUUGGGAUAACUUCAGGAAACUGGGGCUAAUACCGGAUAGGAGCUCCUGCUGCAUGGUGGGGGUUGGAAAGUUUCGGCGGUUGGGGAUGGACUCGCGGCUUAUCAGCUUGUUGGUGGGGUAGGGGAUUACCAAGGCUUUGACGGGUAGCCGGCCUGAGAGGGUGACCGGCCACAUUGGGACUGCGAUACGGCCCAGACUCCUACGGGAGGCAGCCGUGGGGAGUAUGACACAAUGGGCGGAAGCCUGAUGCAGUAACGCCGCGUGCGGGAUGACGGCCUUUGGGUUGUCAACCGCUUUCGCCUGUGACGAAGCGUGAGUGACGGUAAUGGGUAAAGAAGCACCGGCUAACUACGUG